UGGGGAAUAUUGGACAAUGGGGGCAACCCUGAUCCAGCAAUGCCGCGUGAGUGAUGAAGGCCUUAGGGUUGUAAAGCUCUUUCGACGGGGACGAUGAUGACGGUACCCGUAGAAGAAGCCCCGGCUAACUUCGUGCCAGCAGCCGCGGUAAUACGAAGGGGGCUAGCGUUGUUCGGAAUUACUGGGCGUAAAGGGCGCGUAGGCGGUCUUGUAAGUCAGAUGUGAAAGCCCCGGGCUCAACCCGGGAAUAGCAUUUGAUACUGCGAGGCUUGAGUCCGGGAGAGGAUGGCGGAAUUCCCAGUGUAGAGGUGAAAUUCGUAGAUAUUGGGAAGAACACCGGUGGCGAAGGCGGCCAUCUGGACCGGUACUGACGCUGAGGCGCGAAAGCGUGGGGAGCAAACAGG
This 404-nucleotide ribosomal RNA is filed under the name uncultured bacterium. Its description in RNAcentral is "bacterial SSU rRNA". It matches the Rfam family "Bacterial small subunit ribosomal RNA", at positions 355 to 776 of the family's 1533-position model. The record is from RNAcentral.